Molecule: long non-coding RNA, 1284 nt
Filed under: Olea europaea subsp. europaea
Lineage: Eukaryota; Viridiplantae; Streptophyta; Magnoliopsida; Lamiales; Oleaceae
Source: RNAcentral
UUUCAAUGGACGUCGGGCACAUCAUCUUGGGACGACCUUGGUUAUUUGACCUAGAUGUAACCAUCUAUGGUCGAUCCAAUUCCUGCUCCUUGGUGUUUAAUGGAAAGAAGAUUCACCUUAACCCACUGCCUCCGAAGCCUGUUGGCCCACUAGAAACGAAGAAAAGUAUGGAACGAAAGGGAUUGCAUAUCAUUAGUCCUACGGAGUUUGAGCGUACACUUGUUGGUGACUCAGUUGUCUUCGCUUUGGUGGUCAUGGAGGUCCCAUCACACUCCGCAAUAGAGAGCCCUGUUGAAGUCCUAUCGGUCCUCCAAGAGUUUCGAGACGUCUUUCCAGAGGACCUCCCUGAUCAUCUACCUCCACUNUUUAACUUCAGGCACUCGUCAUGUAGGAACAUCAUAAAACGUGCUUUCGGGGUGUGGAAACAAAGGUGGAAAAUCUUGGACCAUAUGUCGAGCUACCCGUAUCCGACGCAGGUAGCAAUUGUCGUUGCAACGAUGGGAAUACAUAAUUUCCUACAACAAUCAGAGUGGUCAACGAGGCAUUCAAGAGAGCAGAUGAGAACGACGACGACGAGGCCGAGGUGGAGCUUCCCACCGUAGAAGAUGAGAUGUAUGCAGAAAUGUAUGCACCGGAAAUGCAGCGGAGCAAGUGGGACAAACUACGGGAUUUCCUGGCACAGUAGCCGUGAUUGGGAUGUAAUUCUAAAGUAGCCGAAGGGGGCCCGACAGUUGGUAAUGUAGCCGUGAUUGGGACAAACUACGCAUAGCACUUGUUUGCGCCACAUUGUCCGUGUAUUUUAAUGGAAAAAUGACCGUUACAUCCACCAUUGUGGGCCCAAGGACAGGGAACUCGCUGACAAUUGAAGUUGCCAAUGAAUAUAAAAUUUUCCAUUUUGCCUCUUCUCGGAAUUGUCAGCAACAUAAGACAAAAUUGCAAUUAAUGCCCAAUAGUAGUCAAAGGCUGCACCAUUUUUAAUUACUGAACGUGUGACUUUAAUUUCCAUGGUAGGUGGGCCCAUUAAUUUCACAUGCUGCUCAAAUGUGUCUCCUCACAGUUCUUUCCAUGACCGGCCCCACGUUUUAAAAUAUAGGCAUUUGCAAGAACUUCCAAUUUCACAUGACGCUUUGCAAUGGACAUUUCUCGACAUCUUGAGUAUUUUUUGACAUUUGUCGUGAUGUUCUCAAGAUUACAUGCCUACAUGUCUUGACACUUCACAUUACAUUUGUUUUGAAUGACAAUAUGAGCAUGAAAAUACAUAUAUAUAGUAAUGAACGACUGUUC